GACGAACGCUGGCGGCGUGCUUAACACAUGCAAGUCGAACGGAAAGGCCCUGCUUUUGUGGGGUGCUCGAGUGGCGAACGGGUGAGUAACACGUGAGUAACCUGCCCUUGACUUUGGGAUAACUUCAGGAAACUGGGGCUAAUACCGGAUAGGAGCUCCUGCUGCAUGGUGGGGGUUGGAAAGUUUCGGCUGUUGGGGAUGGACUCGCGGCUUAUCAGCUUGUUGGUGUGGUAGUGGCUUACCAAGGCUUUGACGGGUAGCCGGCCUGAGAGGGGGACCGGCCACAUGGGGACUGAGAUACGGCCCAGAAUCCUACGGGAGGCAGCAGGGGGGAAUAUUGCACAAUGGGCGGAAGCCUGAUGCAGCAACGCCGCGUGCGGGAUGACGGCCUUCGGGUUGUAAACCGAUUUCGAAUGUGACGAAGCGUGAGUGACGGUAAUGGGUAAAGAAGCACCGGCUAACUACGUG
RNAcentral lists this ribosomal RNA (468 nucleotides) under uncultured bacterium. Its description in RNAcentral is "partial 16S ribosomal RNA". It matches the Rfam family "Bacterial small subunit ribosomal RNA", at positions 28 to 507 of the family's 1533-position model. The record is from RNAcentral.